Long non-coding RNA from Oncorhynchus keta (chum salmon), 838 nucleotides. RefSeq lists it as uncharacterized. The transcript is spliced from 3 exons. The record is from RefSeq and is a predicted model, not a curated record. NCBI's taxonomy places the organism in Eukaryota, Metazoa, Chordata, Actinopteri, Salmoniformes, Salmonidae.
GGGGAGAGAGACACAGACAGAGGAGGAGGGGGGAGAGAGACACAGACAGAGGAGGUGGGGGAGAGAGACACAGACAGAGGAGGUGGGGGAGAGAGACACAGACAGAGGAGGUGGGGGAGAGAGACACAGACAGAGGAGGUGGGGGAGAGAGACACAGACAGAGGAGGUGGGGGAGAGGGAGAGACACAGAGAGAGAGAGAUGGUAAAUAAACUAAAUACUAUCAGCCACACACAUAAUUAUUAUAAUUAGGAGCAUCUGACAUAUUGCCAAUUCACCAGCAUCUAUCUCCUCCAAAACCCAGACAGGAGACUGAAACAGGUGAGUGACUGGAAAAGAGAGAGGAGGAGGAGGAGGAGACUGCAACAGGUGAGAGAGUGGAGAAGAGAGGAGGAGACUGGAACAGGUGAGAGAGUGGAGAAGAGAGGAGGAGACUGCAACAGGUGAGAGAGUGGAGAAGAGAGGAGGAGACUGCAACAGGUGAGAGAGUGGAGAAGAGAGGAGGAGACUGGAACAGGUGAGAGAGUGGAGAAGAGAGGAGGAGACUGGAACAGGUGAGAGAGUGGAGAAGAGAGGAGGAGACUGGAACAGGUGAGAGAGUGGAGAAGAGAGGAGGAGACUGGAACAGGUGAGAGAGUGGAGAAGAGAGGAGGAGACUGGAACAGGUGAGAGAGUGGAGAAGAGAGGAGGAGACUGGAACAGGUGAGAGAGUGGAGAAGAGAGGAGGAGACUGGAACAGGUGAGAGAGUGGAGAAGAGAGGAGGAGACUGGAACAGGUGAGAGAGUGGAGAAGAGAGGAGGAGACUGGAACAGGUGAGAGUGGAGAAGAGAGGAGGAGAC